UAGGGGAGAAGUCUGAAGAUACUUCGACGAUGCCUGAGAUAGACGAAGAAAAAACACAAGAUGCAGCAGAUCCGCCACAAUCUACUUCAACUCAAAUGGUGGAAUAGACUGAACAAUUUGAUUCAGUCGGGAAAUUUGCAAAGAGCAAACAGGUUCGUCCAGGGCAUUUUAAAAGAAAUUACAACUACUGUACAGGGGUAAAGAUUGACGUUUACGGCCUUUUCCCUAUACAUGCAGAUACUGUAAUUAAGACAUUAAAUAAGACUAUUCUGUGAUGCCUUAAUUUAAUUAUAAGAUGAGAUGUCGAAGAGUCAUGAUAUAACAAGAAUGUUAUAAGGUUGACGACACAAGGUUGUAACGAUAUUUGUUGUAUCAUGACUGUGUCAGACUUGGUG
Molecule: non-coding RNA, 395 nt
Organism: Paramuricea clavata
Lineage: Eukaryota; Metazoa; Cnidaria; Anthozoa; Malacalcyonacea; Plexauridae
Source: the annotation of a GenBank genome assembly